Molecule: non-coding RNA, 397 nt
Organism: Nicotiana tabacum (common tobacco)
Lineage: Eukaryota; Viridiplantae; Streptophyta; Magnoliopsida; Solanales; Solanaceae
Source: RefSeq, a predicted model, not a curated record
AUGCGCGUUUAGCACUGGUGGCCGUAUUCUUGAUUCAUUUAGGAGUUCAUUGACUCCUAAAUGUGUGCAAGCUCUUAUUUGUGUUCAAGAUUGGCUUAGAGAAGAGAAGAAUCCUAUUAGUGUUGAAGAAGACUUGAAGUAUCUUGAGGAACUCGAGCUUGAUAUGGAAAAUAAUGGAAGCACUACUAGCAUUGUUUGAUGUAUAGUUGCAACUUGCAUCUUGAGUGGUUCAAGUGCAAUCAUGCCCCGUGCUACUGCUCAACGCUCCGAUAUUUGGGAAUACUUUGUGGUGAAAGAAGAUAACGGAGAAGUUCGCAAAGUAGAGUGCAAACAUUGUGGUCAAGUAUAUAAUGUUAAUCCAAAGAGGAAUGGAACAAUUGAUUUAAGGAAGCAUAUU